This 467-nucleotide ribosomal RNA is filed under the name uncultured Aquificia bacterium. RNAcentral describes it as "bacterial SSU rRNA". It matches the Rfam family "Bacterial small subunit ribosomal RNA", at positions 9 to 469 of the family's 1533-position model. Lineage: Bacteria; Pseudomonadati; Aquificota; Aquificia. The record is from RNAcentral.
GAGUUUGAUCGUGGCUCAGGACGAACGCUGGCGGCGUGCCUAACACAUGCAAGUCGAACGAGUCCACCCUUCGGGGUGAGGCGAGUGGCGGACGGGUGAGUAACACGUGAGCAAUCUGUCCCUGUGCGGGGGACAACCCGGGGAAACCCGGGCUAAUACCGCAUGGGCGGGCACCUCGAGUGGGGAGCCCGGGAAAGAUGGCCUCUUUACAAUGCUAUCGUGCAGGGAGGAGCUCGCGGGCUAUCAGCUUGUUGGUGAGGUAACGGCUCACCAAGGCGACGACGGCUACGGGGUCUGAGAGGACGACCCCGCACAUUGGAACUGAGACACGGUCCAGACUCCUACGGGAGGCAGCAGUGGGGAAUAUUGGGCAAUGGGCGCAAGCCUGACCCAGCGACGCCGCGUGCGGGAGGACGCCUUUCGGGGUGUAAACCGCUGUCAGAGGGGACGAACGGCCCGGGUGGGAA